UACGGGGGGGGCAAGCGUUGUUCGGAAUUACUGGGCGUAAAGGGCUCGUAGGCGGCCAACUAAGUCAGACGUGAAAUCCCUCGGCUUAACCGGGGAACUGCGUCUGAUACUGGAUGGCUUGAAUCCGGGAGAGGGAUGCGGAAUUCCAGGUGUAGCGGUGAAAUGCGUAGAUAUCAGGAAGAACACCGACGGCGAAGGCAGCUCGCUGGGACGGUACUGACGCUGAGGCGCGAAAGCGUGGGGAGCGAACAGG
RNAcentral lists this ribosomal RNA (253 nucleotides) under uncultured bacterium. RNAcentral describes it as "partial 16S ribosomal RNA". It matches the Rfam family "Bacterial small subunit ribosomal RNA", at positions 524 to 776 of the family's 1533-position model. The record is from RNAcentral.